GACGAACGCUGGCGGCGUGCUUAACACAUGCAAGUCGAACGGAAAGGCCCUGCUUUUGUGGGGUGCUCGAGUGGCGAACGGGUGAGUAACACGUGAGUAACCUGCCCUUGACUUUGGGAUAACUUCAGGAAACUGGGGCUAAUACCGUAUAGGAGCUCCUGCUGCAUGGUGGGGGUUGGAAAGUUUCGGCGGUAGGGGAUGGACUCGCGGCUUAUCAGCUUGUUGGUGGGGUAGUGGCUUACCAAGGCUUUGACGGGUAGCCGGCCUGAGAGGGUGACCGGCGACAUUGGGACUGAGAUACGGCGCAGACUCCUACGGGAGGCAGCAGUGGGGAAUAUUGCACAAUGGGCGGAAGCCUGAUGCAGCAACGCCGCGUGCGGGAUGACGGCCUUCGGGGUGUAAACAGCUGUCGCCUGUGACGAAGCGGGAGUGACGGUAAUGGGUAAAGAAGCACCGGCUAACUACGUG
Molecule: ribosomal RNA, 468 nt
Filed under: uncultured bacterium
Lineage: Bacteria
Description: partial 16S ribosomal RNA
Rfam family: Bacterial small subunit ribosomal RNA
Source: RNAcentral